This is a long non-coding RNA of Cynocephalus volans (Philippine flying lemur), 462 nucleotides long. RefSeq lists it as uncharacterized. The record is from RefSeq and is a predicted model, not a curated record. NCBI's taxonomy places the organism in Eukaryota, Metazoa, Chordata, Mammalia, Dermoptera, Cynocephalidae. The transcript has 3 exons.
AGAAGUGGUGUUGCUGGGCGAAAGGCCAUGAAUUCUGGAUCCACAAGUUGUCAAACUAUGGAGCUUCCUUUGGAGUUUCAUUUCAGAGGUUCUUGGAAGUGACAGAAGAUGAUGAGUGGGUGGAUCUCAGGCUGCCUCCUGUACUGGAAGCCUCUAUCCCCCAAUCCAAUUUAUAUUGUCUCCACGCUCAUCCCCAGGGGUAGCUUCCAGCCAACAGCGCAUGAGGAACUGAGACCCUCAGACCAAUAUUCCUUGUGGAGCUGAAACUUGGUGGACAAACACAGAGUGAACUUUGAAGUGAAGCCUUCCUCCAUCGAGCCUUCAGAUGACCAUAGCCCCAGCUGAUACCUUGAUUGCAGCCUCUGAGAGACCUUGAGUGUGAGGGCUCAGCUGAUCUGUGCCUGGAUUCCUGAUCUACAAAAAAUAAUUGAGAUAAUAAAUGUUGCUAUUUUAAUCCACCAA